This 1057-nucleotide long non-coding RNA is filed under the name Ficedula albicollis (Collared flycatcher). RNAcentral's name for it is "lncRNA (ENSFALG00000029038.1)". The record is from RNAcentral. Lineage: Eukaryota; Metazoa; Chordata; Aves; Passeriformes; Muscicapidae.
CCCCCCCCCCCCCCCCCCCCCCCCCCCCCCCCCCCCCCCCCCCCCCCCCCCCCCCCCCCCCCCCCCCCCCCCCCCCCCCCCCCCCCCCCCGGGGGGGGGGGGAGGUGGCACCGUCCCUGUCCCUGUCCCCAGGGCUCCCAGUGGCUCCCAGUAAGUCCCAGUUCCCAGGAGUGGCCCCGCAGCCCAAAGGGACAGGAGGGGACAGCAGGACACCGCCCCAAAGUCCCCGUGUCCCCUCCAGGGUCCUUGGCACAGCAGGGAGCAGCGGUGGCACCUCCUGGUGUCACCUCAGGUGUUACUGCCUGGUGGCAGCUCCUGGUGGCACCUCCAAGGUUCUUCAGUGUCACAUCCCAGGUGUCCCCAGGGUCGUGUUCUUGGUGUCCUCAAUGUCCUCGAUGUCACAUCUCCAGUGUCCCCAGUUCUCCAGUCCCAGUGUUCCCAAUGUCACACCCCUGGUGUCCCCGGUGUCCUGUUCCCAGUGUUCCCAAUGUCACAUCCGCAGUGUCACACCCCUGGUGUCCCCGGUGUCCUGUUCUCAGUGUCCCCAAUGUCACACCCCUGGUGUCCCCGGUGUCCCGUUCUCAGUGUCCCCAAUGUCACACCCCUGGUGUCCCCGGUGUCCCGUUCUCAGUCUUCUUGGUGUCCCAUUCCUGGUGUCCUUGGUGUCCCAUCCCAGUGUCCCCAAUGUCCCAUCCCAGUGUCCCCAGUGUCCCCGGUGUCCCCAGUGUCACAAGGUGAAGAUCUCGUCCUCGCUGUCCCCGGUGUCCCCAGUGUCCCCGGUGUCCCCAGUGUCCCCAGUGUCACAAGGUGGCGAUCUCCUCCUCGCUGUCCCCGGUGUCCCCAGUGUCACAAGGUGAAGAUCUCGUCCUCGCUGUCCCCAGUGUCCCCAGUGUCCCCAGUGUCACAAGGUGAAGAUCUCGCCCUCGCUGUCCCCAGUGUCCCCAGUGUCCCCAGUGUCCCCCCCCCCCCCCCCCCCCCCCCCCCCCCCCCCCCCCCCCCCCCCCCCCCCCCCCCCCCCCCCCCCCCCCCCCCCCCCCCCCCCCCCCCCCCCCCCCCC